Molecule: ribosomal RNA, 497 nt
Filed under: uncultured bacterium
Lineage: Bacteria
Description: partial 16S ribosomal RNA
Rfam family: Bacterial small subunit ribosomal RNA
Source: RNAcentral
GAUGAACGCUGGCGGCGUGCCUAAUACAUGCAUGUCGAGCGAACGGACGAGAAGCUUGCUUCUCUGAUGUUAGCGGCGGACGGGUGAGUAACACGUGGAUAACCUACCUAUAAGACUGGGAUAACUUCGGGAAACCGGAGCUAAUACCGGAUGAUAUUUUGAACCGCAUGGUUCAAAAGUGAAAGACGGUCUUGCUGUCACUUAUAGAUGGAUCCGCGCUGCAUUAGCUAGUUGGUAAGGUAACGGCUUACCAAGGCAACGAUGCAUAGCCGACCUGAGAGGGUGAUCGGCCACACUGGAACUGAGACACGGUCCAGACUCCUACGGGAGGCAGCAGUAGGGAAUCUUCCGCAAUGGGCGAAAGCCUGACGGAGCAACGCCGCGUGAGUGAUGAAGGUCUUCGGAUCGUAAAACUCUGUUAUUAGGGAAGAACAUAUGUGUAAGUAACUGUGCACAUCUUGACGGUACCUAAUCAGAAAGCCACGGCUAACUACGUG